UCAAGCUAAAAAGAGCAUAAGGUGAAUGCCUUGGCAUCAGGAGCCGACGAAGGACGUGACAAGCUGCGAAAAGCCGCGGGGAGCUGCAAAUAAGCCUCGAUCCGCGGAUAUCCGAAUUGGGGAACCACGCAGGCGAAGAGCCUGUGAUCAUGUACUGAAUACAUAGGUGCAUGAAGGGAACGAGGGGAACUGAAACAUCUAAGUACCCUUAGGAAGAGAAAUCAAACGAGAUUUCGCGAGUAGCGGCGAGCGAAAGCGAAAGAGGCUAAACCGGGAGUAGAAAUACAUCCGGGGUAAUGGACUGAUAAAGCGACAAUAGUCAUAGCAGAAUGACUUGGGAAAGUCAACCGAAGAAGGUGAGAGUCCCGUAAGCGAAAUGACGACGAUAGCGACAGUAUCCGGAGUACGUACGGACACGAGGAAUCCGCACGGAAGUCGGGGGGACCACCCUCCAAGCCUAAAUACUACCUGAUGACCGAUAGAGGAGAAGUACUGUGAAGGAAAGGUGAAAAGAACCCCGGGAGGGGAGUGAAAAGAACCUGAAACCUUAUGUUUACAAGCACACAAAGCACGUUAAUGUGCGAUGUGGUACUUUUUGUAGAACGGUCCGGCGAGUUAUUGUUGCUGGCGAGGUUAAGUACCGAAGGUACGGAGCCGCAGGGAAACCGAGCAUGAAAUGUGCGUAUAGUCAGUAGUAAUAGACCCGAAACCGGGUGACCUAUCCAUGAGCAGGUUGAAGUUGCCGUAAAAGGCAAUGGAGGACCGAACCGACCCCCGUUGAAACGUUGGCGGAUGACUUGUGGAUAGCGGAGAAAUUCCAAUCGAACCCGGAUAUAGCUGGUUCUCCCCGAAAUAGCUUUAGGGCUAGCCUUCUGUAUAUUUAGCGCAGGUAAAGCACUGAAUGGCCGAGGGGUCGAGAGACUACCAACGCCUAUCAAACUAAGAAUGGCGCAUAAAUGAGCAGGGGAGUCAGACUACGUGAGAUAAGUCUCGUGGUCAAAAGGGAAACAGCCCAGAUCUACAGCUAAGGUCCCAAAUAUAUACUAAGUGGAGAAGGAUGUGACAAUGCUAAGACAACUAGGAUGUUGGCUUAGAAGCAGCCACUCAUUAAAAGAGUGCGUAAUAGCUCACUAGUCGAGUGAUGUUGCGCCGAAGAUUUAACGGGGCUAAGUAUAUAACCGAAGCUUAGGCAGUGUUUAACUGGGUAGGGGAGCGUUCUCAUCGGGGCGAAGCAUGAUCGGAAGGACAUGUGGACUGAUGAGAAGUGAGAAUGCCGGAAUGAGUAGCGAGAAUUGCGUGAGAAUCGUAAUGGCCGAAAAUCUAAGGUUUCCAGGGGAAGGUUCGUCCGCUCUGGGUAAGCCGGGAGCUAAGGCGAGGCCGAAAGGCGUAGUCGAUGCACAUACGGUAGAGAUUCCGUAGCCACUAAGUAAUUUAAGUAUACUGACACAACAUGGAAGCACAACCCGGGCGAUGGUAGCCCCGGGCGAAAGGGACUGAAAUUAAGUAGGGAAGUGUGAUGAAGUGGUGGCGAGAAAAGGUAUACGGAUAUUACAGGUGCCCGUACCGCAAACCGACACAGGUAGAUGGGGAGAGAAUCCUAAGGCCAACGGGAGAAGGGUUGUUAAGGAACUCGGCAUAUUGACCCCGUAACUUCGGAAGAAGGGGUGCCGCAGAAAUGCGGCCACAGUGAAAAGGCCCAGGCGACUGUUUAUCAAAAACACAGGUCUCUGCAAAACCGAAAGGUGAAGUAUAGGGGCUGACGCCUGCCCGGUGCCGGAAGGUCAAGGGGAUUGCUUAGCGCAAGCGAAGGCAAGAACUUAAGCCCCGGUAAACGGCGGCCGUAACUAUAACGGUCCUAAGGUAGCGAAAUUCCUUGUCAGGUAAGUUCUGACCCGCACGAAUGG
RNAcentral lists this ribosomal RNA (1904 nucleotides) under human gut metagenome. RNAcentral describes it as "bacterial LSU rRNA". It matches the Rfam family "Bacterial large subunit ribosomal RNA", at positions 3 to 1999 of the family's 2925-position model. The record is from RNAcentral.